AUCCUUUUGUGGUUCAUACAAUGUGAUGACUGGGUUUCUGCAUCUGCACCACUGUGACAGGUGCCUCUCAGACUGUUGGAAAGACUUGGGCAUGUUACCUACCAGGCG
This 108-nucleotide small nucleolar RNA is filed under the name Heterocephalus glaber (naked mole-rat). Its description in RNAcentral is "Small nucleolar RNA U13 (ENSHGLG00100037452.1)". It matches the Rfam family "Small nucleolar RNA U13". The record is from RNAcentral. Lineage: Eukaryota; Metazoa; Chordata; Mammalia; Rodentia; Bathyergidae.